Long non-coding RNA from Mytilus californianus (California mussel), 1920 nucleotides. RefSeq lists it as uncharacterized. The record is from RefSeq and is a predicted model, not a curated record. The transcript is spliced from 2 exons. Lineage: Eukaryota; Metazoa; Mollusca; Bivalvia; Mytilida; Mytilidae.
ACCAAAAUUCAAACUUGAUCUGAGUUUUGUGGUAAUAAGCAUUGUGUAUAAGUUUCAUAACAUUUGGUUGAGGCAAACUUAAGUUAGAGAACGGAAACGAAAAAUUCAGCAAUUUUUCCAUUUGUAAAGGGGCAUAACUCCAGAACGGUAAAAGUAACGCCACCAAAAUUCAACUUGAUCUGUGUUUUAUCAGUGGAAGUCAAAAUUAAACAUUGCAUUGUAUAAAGCAUUGAUUGUAGUUGAUUCAACUAUAAUCAUGGACAAAGGAAGAUAACUACAAUUUUAAUAAAAUGCUUCGCUGGGCGCAGCUUGAUACGACAGCAGAGGUUGAACCCUGAACAGUUGGGGCAAGUAUGGACACAACAUUCAAGCUUGAUACAGCUCUGAAUUUGGAUUGUGAUUAAAUAUUUGACACAGCUUAGGUUUCUAACACAGAUUGAAUGUGGUCUAAGAACUUAAAAAUUUUAAAUUGGACAUUCACCUAUUAUGGUCCAAUAUCCAAAAUCUAAAUACAUGGUUAGAUUCAGCAUAUCAAAGAACCCCAAGAAUUCAAUUUUUGAUGAAAUCAAACAAAGUUUAAUUUUGGACCCUUUUGACCUCAAUGUGGACAAAGUUGAUAACGGGGCCCAAAAAUCAAAAAUCUAAAUACAUGGUUAGAUUCAGCAUAUCAAAGAACCCCAUAUAUUCAAUUUUUGUUGAAAUCAAACAAAGUUUAAUUUUGGACCCCAAUUUGGACCAACUUGAAAACUGGGCCCAAAAUCAAAAAUCUAAAUACAUGUUUAGAUUCAGCUUUUCAAAGAACCCUAAGAAUUCAAUUUUUGUUAAAAUCAAACUAAGUUUAAUUUUGGACCCUUUGGACCUUAAUGUAGACCAAUUUGAAAACGGAACCAAAAAUUAAGAAUCUAAAUACACAGUUAGAUUCGGCAUAUCAAAGAACCCCAAUAAUUCAAUUUUUGAUGAAAUCAAACAAAGUUUAAUUUUGGACCCUUUUGACCUCAAUGUGGACAAAGUUGAUAACGGGGCCCAAAAAUCAAAAAUCUAAAUACAUGGUUAGAUUCAGCAUAUCAAAGAACCCCAUAUAUUCAAUUUUUGUUGAAAUCAAACAAAGUUUAAUUUUGGACCCCAAUUUGGACCAACUUGAAAACUGGGCCCAUAAUCAAAAAUCUAAAUACAUGUUUAGAUUCAGCAUAUCAAAGAACCCUAAGAAAUUCAAUUUUUGUUAAAAUCAAACUAAGUUUAAUUUUGGACCCUUUGGACCUUAAUGUAGACCAAUUUGAAAACGGAACCAAAAUUUAAGAAUCUAAAUACACAGUUAGAUUCGGCAUAUCAAAGAACCCCAAUAAUUCAAUUUUUGAUGAAAUCAAACAAAGUUUAAUUUUGGACCCUUUGGACCUCAAUGUGGACCAAUUUAAAAACGGGGCCCAAAAUCCAAAAACUAAAUACACGGUUAGAUUCAGCAUAUUAAAGAACCCCAUGAAAUCAAGAAUAAAACCCCAUUGAAAUUGGUCAAGAAAUAAGCAAUUUAUAGGAAGUAUCUUCUUUUGCACAAUCCUGUGCUAUCAAAUAUUUCUUGCUAUUGCGCAAUACUGUACAAUUGACAAUUUCUUGCUAUUGCGCAAUAUUGUGCUAUUGGAUAUUUCUUGCUAUUGCGCAAUACUGUGCAAUUGAAGAUUUCUUGCUAUUGCGCAAUACUGUGCAAUUGAAGAUUUCUUGCUAUUGUGCAAUACUGUGCAAUUGAAAAUUUCUUGCUAUUGCACAAUACUUAUUAUAUAAUAAUUUACACAUCCUGUUUGGUGUGUAUCUCCUACCAUAUCAUUAUUAUUUGAUUUUAAAUAUAAAUCAGAAAUAACCAACUUAAAAUGGAAAAUUUUAAAAGAAACAAAAAAGGAAAAAAAGAAAAAAAAGGAAAAAAAAAAUAAA